RNAcentral lists this long non-coding RNA (1918 nucleotides) under Homo sapiens (human). RNAcentral describes it as "HSALNT0397025". Lineage: Eukaryota; Metazoa; Chordata; Mammalia; Primates; Hominidae. The record is from RNAcentral.
GAACAACACCCUUGAUGCAGAAGAUUUAGCACCACUAUCUCUGUUCCAUCUGGGCUUAUAUGUACUUUUACUUUUUGGUGGUGAAAUUGGCUGAUGAUUUUCCUUUUUCUUCCCUGGACUAUUGUGCCAACUGCCAGGCUGCCUCCUGCCCUUACAGCCCUAAAUGGCUGCCUUCUUUCCAUCAACUCCCAACUUCUUCCAGUGAAAUUUAAUUGUCUCAAUGCCUCCCCCUCCCCCAUUCUCUCCAUUUUCUCCCAAGAAGCAUGACUCGAUUAUUUGCAUAUUUUGAGAAACUGCUGCAGAUUAGUUCUUUUUGCCAGUUCUCCCUGGAACUCCUGGCCUUUUGUGGAGGGAAGGAUGGACAGAAUGGGAAUCUUCACUAGAAGCCGUGGGAAGAAUUGCAAGUUACAUGCUCUAUAUGCAAUGUCCAGCAGUCUGAUAAACUGAUGAUUCUUAAUCAAGAUUGUUUUCCUGGUGGGGAAGGGGCUUUUAUUUUCUUUUAGAGAGGGGAAAGUGUGAGCUCUUCCCUUAUUCCUAAUGGCUAUUUUUGAAGCAAAGAAGGCUAGCAACGUUGGCACAUGCCACCUGGCAAAGGACCCUUGAGUAAGUGAAGGUCUCCUAGAACUGGGAUUAAGAAACCUUGCUGUCCUCACCUCCAAGGCAGGGACCAUCAAGAACCUACAGACUCCAUCUCUUCUGCAAGCCUCAUGCCAAGCCUGGGCUAUUGCUGCUGCCCCUUAAACAGAGGCUGUCCUUAACCCACCUCUCCUGCCCUGUGAUAUGUCUGUUGAGUUGGCCUGGCCAUGUCCAAGAGGCUGUAGAAAGGGGAGAAUGUCAAGGAAGACUUUUGGUUGAGAAGGAGCAGAAAGAUGUGUUUUUGCAAAGAAGAAGACCUCUAGGAAGAGCUAGUAGGAAUGUACAUGAAGAAAUUAAGUCUGAAACUGGCUUCCUCACUCCCCUGUUUCUCCUUUUCCUAUCCUUAUAGGCCUGUCCCUUGCCUCUGCCCUGGAUUGGCUGGCACACUAAAGGACUUGAUGUACAUAACUCCUGUCCCUUUUACCCUUACAAGGUGCGGAUUGCCCCUGGCUUUGCCUCUUCUUUGUGCCUUUGGCCUGGGGUGCAUUUCCACCCACCCUUCCAUGUGCCUUUCUUUGCCUCUGCAGUCUCAUUUCUCAUAAUUUUGCAAAUUACAUUUUGUUGCUUUCUUACCUACUAUUGGCCCUAAAUAGCAGAAAGAAGAGAAGUGACCUAGAGAACCUCAGAUUCUUCAUUGAGGAUUGGUAUAGCCAUGAUUUCAGCCAUAGCAAGUUUUGCUCAACAGCAUAUGCGUGGGAUUUUGCAAAACUCCUAUUCUGAUGAAUCACAAAGUAAGGUUGGUAAGAGAAGUGAGUGGUGUGACUCUUACUCCUUAGGUGCCCAGAACUUACCAUCAUCUCUGAAGGCGUUACAGGGAAGUGGUCUCUCCAAUCCUUCCCUCCCUCCAGUAUUGCCCCCUCUCACUUUAGCAUAUAUUAAUUAGCAGGUUGGGCUAGAGAAAUCAGCUGCUAUGCGGGUUGAUUAUUAUUAUUAUUUUUGAUCCUUUUCCUUAUUUGCCUUCUACUCCCCUUAAUCUAAUCUAAAAGCUCUGUUCCAUGUAACUGGAGUUCUUUAUCCCUCUCUUCCCCUUCCCUUAUAUAUUGAGGCUAUGGGGUAGGAGAAAAGUGCACAACCCACCACCCCCUUUACUGGUGCAUUAAAAUUUCUUAUUUACCCUUUUCUCCCUUCCCAUUUCUCCCCACUUUCAUCUACCUUUUCUGGCAAAAAGGAGCCUUGUGCUCUCUGUGACCCUAAGGGCACACUGCACAGGUGAAAUUGCCCCAUCCAGACCUGGCUCCACUCUUGAUUUCUCUUGCCCUCUUCUGCUCUUUUCCUGGUGCUC